GACGAACGCUGGCGGCGUGCUUAACACAUGCAAGUCGAACGGUAAGGCCCUUCGGGGUAAACGAGUGGCGAACGGGUGAGUAACACGUGGGUGAUCUGCCCUGAACUUCGGGAUAAGCCUGGGAAACUGGGUCUAAUACCGGAUAGGACCACUGCCUGCAUGGGUGGUGGUGGAAAGCUUUUGCGGUGUGGGAUGGGCCCGCGGGCUAUCAGCGUGCUGGUGGGGUGAUGGCAUACCAAGGCGACGACGGGUAGCCGGCCUGGGAGGGUGACCGGCGACACUGGGACUGAGAUACGGCCCAGAAGCCUACGGGAAGCAGCAGUGGGGAAUAUUGCACAAUGGGCGCAAGCCUGAUACAGCGACGCCGCGUGAGGGAUGACGGCCUUCGGGUUGUAAACCUCUUUCAGCAGCGACGAAGCGAAAGUGACGGUAGGUGCAGAAGAAGGACCGGCCAACUACGUGCCAGCCGCCGCGGUAA
This 478-nucleotide ribosomal RNA is filed under the name uncultured bacterium. Its description in RNAcentral is "partial 16S ribosomal RNA". It matches the Rfam family "Bacterial small subunit ribosomal RNA", at positions 28 to 523 of the family's 1533-position model. The record is from RNAcentral.